Molecule: ribosomal RNA, 253 nt
Filed under: uncultured bacterium
Lineage: Bacteria
Description: partial 16S ribosomal RNA
Rfam family: Archaeal small subunit ribosomal RNA
Source: RNAcentral
UACCAGGACCCCGAGUGGUCGGGACGAUUAUUGGGCCUAAAGCAUCCGUAGCCGGUUCUACAAGUCUUCCGUUAAAUCCACCUGCUUAACAGAUGGGCUGCGGAGGAUACUAUGGAGCUAGGAGGCGGGAGAGGCAAGCGGUACUUAGUGGGUAGGGGUAAAAUCCGUUGAUCCAUUGAAGACCACCAGUGGCGAAGGCGGCUUGCCAGAACGCACUCGACGGUGAGGGAUGAAAGCUGGGGGAGCAAACCGG